GAGCAAUGAUGAGUUCCUAUUUUGCCUGACUGCCAAAAAUGAAGGCUUCUACACUUGAACUGAGCUCA
Molecule: small nucleolar RNA, 68 nt
Filed under: Anser brachyrhynchus (Pink-footed goose)
Lineage: Eukaryota; Metazoa; Chordata; Aves; Anseriformes; Anatidae
Description: Small nucleolar RNA U2-30 (ENSABRG00000022702.1)
Source: RNAcentral